CCUACGGGAGGCAGCAGUGGGGGAUAUUGCACAAUGGGGGGAACCCUGAUGCAGCGACGCCGCGUGGGUGAAGGAGUGCUUCGGCAUGUAAAGCACUAUCGACAGGGACGAAGCAAGACGGUACCUGACUAAGAAGCCCCGGCUAACUACGUGCCAGCAGCCGCGGUAAUACGUAGGGGGCGAGCGUUAUCCGGAUUCACUGGGUGUAAAGGGAGCGUAGACGGCAAUGCAAGCCAGGUGUGAAAGCCCUGGGCCUAACCCGGGGAAUGCCCGUGGGACUGCAUGGCUGGAGUGCGGGAGGGGCAGGCGGAAUUCCGGGUGUAGCGGUGAAAUGCGUAGAUGUCAGGAGGAACACCGGUGGCGAAGGCAGCCUGCUGGACCGCGACUGACGUUGAGGCUCGAAAGCGUGGGGAGCGAACAGGAUUAGAUACCCCGGUAGUC
This 441-nucleotide ribosomal RNA is filed under the name uncultured bacterium. RNAcentral's name for it is "partial 16S ribosomal RNA". It matches the Rfam family "Bacterial small subunit ribosomal RNA", at positions 338 to 795 of the family's 1533-position model. The record is from RNAcentral.